Molecule: ribosomal RNA, 497 nt
Filed under: uncultured bacterium
Lineage: Bacteria
Description: partial 16S ribosomal RNA
Rfam family: Bacterial small subunit ribosomal RNA
Source: RNAcentral
GAUGAACGCUGGCGGCGUGCCUAAUACAUGCAAGUCGAGCGAACAGACGAGGAGCUUGCUCCUCUGACGUUAGCGGCGGACGGGUGAGUAACACGUGGAUAACCUACCUAUAAGACUGAGAUAAAUUCGGGAAACCGGAGCUAAUACCGGAUAAUAUAUAGAACCGCAUGUUUCAAUAGUGAAAGACGGUUUUGAUGUCACUUAUCGCUGGAUCCGCGCCGCAUUAGCUAGUUGGUAAGGUCACGGCUUACCAAGGCAACGAUGCGUAGCCGACCUGAGAGAGUGAUCGGCCACACGGGAACGGAGACACGGUCCAGACUCCUACGGGAGGCAGCAGUAGGGAACCUGCGGCAAUGGUCGAAAGUCUUACGCAGCAACGCCGCGUGAGUGAUAAAGGUGUUGGGAUCGUAAAACUGUGUUACUGGGGAAGAACAAAUUUGUGCGUAAAUAUGCCCGUAUUGACGGUACCUAAUCAGAAAGCCACGGCUAACUACGUG